CAUUAAUGAUUGCGAAUGGUUGCCUUCGGUGCUGGCUCUUGCAAGUGCACGUUGGUGGCUUUCAUCCAAUACCCCUGUGAACCUUUGGCCUCUUGCUCGCUUCGGCUGGCAGAGGAUUUUUACACACUCGAAUGUAAUGAAAACUAUUGUCGUGCGCAAGCACUAAUGUACAACUUUCAACAACGGAUCUCUUGGCUCUCGCAUCGAUGAAGAACGCAGCGAAAUGCGAUAAGUAAUGUGAAUUGCAGAAUUCAGUGAAUCAUCGAAUCUUUGAACGCACCUUGCACCCUUUGGUAUUCCGAAGGGUAUGCUCGUUUGAGUGUCAUUGUACUCUCACACUCUCUGAUCCUUUUGGAUUCAGGGAGCGGUGGACUUGGGUGUUUGCUGCUUACCUUGCAGCUCACCUCAAAUGCGUCAGUGCAUCUCUUGGUUGGACAUAGUACGGCGUGAUAAGUAUCUUCGCCGGCACCUCGCAAGAGGGUGGCCGAUUGAGAGCUCUGUGCUUUCAAACCGUCUUCGGACACUUUCUGACAACUUGACCUCAAAUCGAGUAGGACUACCCGCUGAACUUAAGCAUAU
RNAcentral lists this unclassified non-coding RNA (579 nucleotides) under uncultured Sebacina. Its description in RNAcentral is "sequence contains ITS1, 5.8S rRNA gene and ITS2". The stretch from base 172 to 325 matches the Rfam family "5.8S ribosomal RNA". Lineage: Eukaryota; Fungi; Basidiomycota; Agaricomycetes; Sebacinales; Sebacinaceae. The record is from RNAcentral.